This 501-nucleotide ribosomal RNA is filed under the name uncultured bacterium. RNAcentral's name for it is "bacterial SSU rRNA". It matches the Rfam family "Bacterial small subunit ribosomal RNA", at positions 30 to 521 of the family's 1533-position model. The record is from RNAcentral.
AUUGAACGCUGGCGGCAUGCCUUACACAUGCAAGUCGAACGGUAACAGGUCUUCGGAUGCUGACGAGUGGCGAACGGGUGAGUAAUACAUCGGAACGUGCCCGAUCGUGGGGGAUAACGGAGCGAAAGCUUUGCUAAUACCGCAUACGAUCUACGGAUGAAAGCAGGGGACCGCAAGGCCUUGCGCGGACGGAGCGGCCGAUGGCAGAUUAGGUAGUUGGUGGGAUAAAAGCUUACCAAGCCGACGAUCUGUAGCUGGUCUGAGAGGACGACCAGCCACACUGGGACUGAGACACGGCCCAGACUCCUACGGGAGGCAGCAGUGGGGAAUUUUGGACAAUGGGCGAAAGCCUGAUCCAGCCAUGCCGCGUGCAGGGAUGAAGGCCUUCGGGUUGUAAACUGCUUUUGUACGGAACGAAAAGGGUCUUUUACUAAUAAAGAAGGCUUGAUGACGGUACCGUAAGGAAUAAGCACCGGCUAACUACGUGCCAGCAGCCGCGGU